This 356-nucleotide long non-coding RNA is filed under the name Ananas comosus (pineapple). RNAcentral's name for it is "long non-coding RNA (ACOM_LNC004776)". The record is from RNAcentral. Lineage: Eukaryota; Viridiplantae; Streptophyta; Magnoliopsida; Poales; Bromeliaceae.
GAAACUGGAGUUUUUUCACUUGCUUCAGGCGACUCCAACAUCUGCGUGUCAUUUGGCUGAGAAGUUGGAGUUUUUUCACUUGCUUCAGGCGACUCUAACAUCUGUGUGUCAUUUGGCUGAGAAAUUUGAGUUUUUUCGCUUGCUUCAGGUGACUCCAACAUCUGUGUGUCAUUUGGCUGAGAAAUUUGAGUUUUUUCGCUUGCUUCAGGUGACUCCAACAUCUGUGUGUCAUUUGGCUGAGAAGCUGUAGUUCCCAUGACCUCUUCAGCCCCACCAACUAAAGGAAUGGAGUUAUCUUCCCCUACAGGCUGAAAUGUUGCCGAAGUACCAUAAUCUGGUUCGACCGGUCCAUAGAA